RNAcentral lists this long non-coding RNA (227 nucleotides) under Elaeis guineensis (African oil palm). Its description in RNAcentral is "long non-coding RNA (EGUI_LNC033401)". The record is from RNAcentral. Lineage: Eukaryota; Viridiplantae; Streptophyta; Magnoliopsida; Arecales; Arecaceae.
CCAUGUUUAACCAAAUAUAUGAAUUUCAUCCAUCCUCUCCUUCAUCGAUCCUUCCUCUUCCAUCUAUCCUUUCUUCAAUUAAUCCUUCGUACCAAAAAAAGGGUUAGUUUUCAUAGAAAAAAAAUUGGACAAAAAAUUAUUGAAGGAAUCAGCAGAGAAGGUACAAAGAGAAGGGGAGAUCAAGAUAGAAAAAUGUGAAGUUGAGGGAGGAAGUUGUCACAUAGAUG